AGAGUUUGAUCCUGGCUCAGGAUGAACGCUGGCGGCGUGCUUAACACAUGCAAGUCGAACGAAGCAGCGGCGCGGAACCCUCCGGGAGGAAGCGCUGCUGACUGAGUGGCGGACGGGUGAGUAACGCGUGGGUAACCUGCCCCAUACAGGGGGAUAACAGCUGGAAACGGCUGCUAAUACCGCAUAAUCCUGCGGGGCCGCAUGGCCCUGCAUGGAAAGCUUUGGCGGUAUGGGAUGGGCCCGCGUCUGAUUAGGCAGUUGGCGGGUAACGGCCCACCAACCGACGAUCAGUAGCCGGCCUGAGAGGGCGACCGGCCACAUUGGGACUGAGACACGGCCCAAACUCCUACGGGAGGCAGCAGUGGGGAAUAUUGCACAAUGGGGGAACCCUGAUGCAGCGACGCCGCGUGGGUGAAGAAGUAUUUCGGUAUGUAAAGCCCUGUCAGCAGGGAAGAAGAAUGACGGUACCUGACCAAGAAGCACCGGCUAAAUACGUG
RNAcentral lists this ribosomal RNA (497 nucleotides) under uncultured Lachnospiraceae bacterium. RNAcentral's name for it is "bacterial SSU rRNA". It matches the Rfam family "Bacterial small subunit ribosomal RNA", at positions 8 to 507 of the family's 1533-position model. The record is from RNAcentral. Lineage: Bacteria; Bacillati; Bacillota; Clostridia; Lachnospirales; Lachnospiraceae.